RNAcentral lists this ribosomal RNA (2223 nucleotides) under human gut metagenome. Its description in RNAcentral is "bacterial LSU rRNA". It matches the Rfam family "Bacterial large subunit ribosomal RNA", at positions 197 to 2442 of the family's 2925-position model. The record is from RNAcentral.
AACAUCUAAGUACCCCGAGGAAAAGAAAUCAACCGAGAUUCCCCCAGUAGCGGCGAGCGAACGGGGAGCAGCCCAGAGUCUGAAUCAGCUUGUGUGUUAGUGGAACGGUCUGGAAAGUCCGACGGUACAGGGUGAUAGUCCCGUACACCAAAAUGCACAGGCUGUGAACUCGAAGAGUAGGGCGGGACACGUGGUAUCCUGUCUGAAUAUGGGGGGACCAUCCUCCAAGGCUAAAUACUCCUGACUGACCGAUAGUGAACCAGUACCGUGAGGGAAAGGCGAAAAGAACCCCGGCGAGGGGAGUGAAAAAGAACCUGAAACCGUGUACGUACAAGCAGUGGGAGCACCUUCGGGUGUGACUGCGUACCUUUUGUAUAAUGGGUCAGCGACUUAUAUUCUGUAGCAAGGUUAACCGUAUAGGGGAGCCGCAGGGAAACCGAGUCUUAACUGGGCGUUAAGUUGCAGGGUAUAGACCCGAAACCCGGUGAUCUAGCCAUGGGCAGGUUGAAGGUUGGGUAACACUAACUGGAGGACCGAACCGACUAAUGUUGAAAAAUUAGCGGAUGACUUGUGGCUGGGGGUGAAAGGCCAAUCAAACCGGGAGAUAGCUGGUUCUCCCCGAAAGCUAUUUAGGUAGCGCCUCGUGAACUCAUCUUCGGGGGUAGAGCACUGUUUCGGCUAGGGGGUCAUCCCGACUUACCAACCCGAUGCAAACUACGAAUACCGAAGAAUGUUACUCACGGGAGACACACGGCGGGUGCUAACGUCCGUCGUGAAGAGGGAAACAACCCAGACCGCCAGCUAAGGUCCCAAAGUCACAGUUAAGUGGGAAACGAUGUGGGAAGGCACAGACAGCCAGGAUGUUGGCUUAGAAGCAGCCAUCAUUUAAAGAAAGCGUAAUAGCUCACUGGUCGAGUCGGCCUGCGCGGAAGAUGUAACGGGGCUAAACUGUGCACCGAAGCUGCGGCAGCGACACUAUGUGUUGUUGGGUAGGGGAGCGUUCUGUAAGCCUGCGAAGGUGGCCUGUGAGGGUUGCUGGAGGUAUCAGAAGUGCGAAUGCUGACAUAAGUAACGAUAAUGCGGGUGAAAAGCCCGCACGCCGGAAGACCAAGGGUUCCUGUCCAACGUUAAUCGGGGCAGGGUGAGUCGACCCCUAAGGCGAGGCCGAAAGGCGUAGUCGAUGGGAAACAGGUUAAUAUUCCUGUACUUGGUGUUACUGCGAAGGGGGGACGGAGAAGGCUAUGUUAGCCGGGCGACGGUUGUCCCGGUUUAAGCAUGUAGGCGGAGGUUCCAGGUAAAUCCGGUACCUUUUUAACGCUGAGGUGUGAUGACGAGGCACUACGGUGCUGAAGUAACAAAUGCCCUGCUUCCAGGAAAAGCCUCUAAGCAUCAGGUAACAUUGAAUCGUACCCCAAACCGACACAGGUGGUCAGGUAGAGAAUACCAAGGCGCUUGAGAGAACUCGGGUGAAGGAACUAGGCAAAAUGGUGCCGUAACUUCGGGAGAAGGCACGCUGAUAUGUAGGUGAAGCCCCUGCGGGUGGAGCUGAAAUCAGUCGAAGAUACCAGCUGGCUGCAACUGUUUAUUAAAAACACAGCACUGUGCAAACACGAAAGUGGACGUAUACGGUGUGACGCCUGCCCGGUGCCGGAAGGUUAAUUGAUGGGGUUAUCCGUAAGGAGAAGCUCUUGAUCGAAGCCCCGGUAAACGGCGGCCGUAACUAUAACGGUCCUAAGGUAGCGAAAUUCCUUGUCGGGUAAGUUCCGACCUGCACGAAUGGCGUAAUGAUGGCCAGGCUGUCUCCACCCGAGACUCAGUGAAAUUGAACUCGCUGUGAAGAUGCAGUGUACCCGCGGCAAGACGGAAAGACCCCGUGAACCUUUACUAUAGCUUGACACUGAACAUUGAGCCUUGAUGUGUAGGAUAGGUGGGAGGCUUUGAAGCGUGGACGCCAGUCUGCGUGGAGCCAACCUUGAAAUACCACCCUUUAAUGUUUGAUGUUCUAACGUUGGCCCCUGACCGGGGUUGCGGACAGUGUCUGGUGGGUAGUUUGACUGGGGCGGUCUCCUCCCAAAGAGUAACGGAGGAGCACGAAGGUUAGCUAAUCCUGGUCGGACAUCAGGAGGUUAGUGCAAUGGCAUAAGCUAGCUUGACUGCGAGCGUGACGGCGCGAGCAGGUGCGAAAGCAGGUCAUAGUGAUCCGGUGGUUCUGAAUGGAAGGGC